UAAUGUGCUAAUACCGCAUAACAACAGAAAGCGCAUGCUUUUUGUUUGAAAACCGAUGUGGUAUGGGAUGGACCCGCGUCUGAUUAGCUGGUUCGGCGGGGUAAAGGCCCACCAUUGCCACGAUCAUGAUCCGGCCUGAGAGGGUGGACGUGCCACAUUGGCGACUGAGACUCAGACCAAACUCCUACUGGAGGCGGCAGUGGGGAAUAUUGCUCUUUGGGGGAAACCCUGAUGCUGCUACACCGCGUGAGCGAAAAAGUAUUUCGGUAUCUGAACCUCUAUCUCCGUGGAAUAUAAAAAAAGGUACCUGACUAAAAUGCCCCUGCUAUCUACGUGCCUACUUCCACGGUAAUACCUAAGGGGCUAGCGUUAUCCGGAUUUACUGGGUGUAAAGGGAGCGCGGACGGCUGUUUAAGUCAGAAGUGAAAGCCCAUUGCUUAACGAUGGGACUGCUUCUGAAACUAAGGAGCUAGAGUGCAGGAGAGGGAAGUGGAAUUCCUAGUGUAGCGGUGAAAUGCGUAGAGAUUAGGAGGAACACCAGUGGCGAAGGCGGCUUUCUGGUCUGUAACUGACGUUGAGGCUCGAAAGCGUGGGGAGCAAACAGGAUUAGAUACCCUGGUAGUCCACGCGGUAAACGAUGAAUACUAGGUGUUGGGGUUUGAAGAACUUUGGUGCCGUCGCAAACGCCAUAAGUAUUUCACCUGGGGAGUACGUUCGCAAGAAUGAAACUCAAAGGAAUUGACGGGGACCCGCACAAGCGGUGGAGCACGUGGUUUAAUUCGAAGCAACGCGAAGAACCUUACCCGUUUUUGACAUCCCUCUGACAGCAUUUGUAAAGAGUGUUUCCUUUGGGACAGAGGAGACAGGUGGUGUACUGGUUGUCGUCAGCUCGUGUCGUGAGAUGUUGGGUUAAGUCCCGCCACGAGCGCCACCCCUAUUCUCAGUAGCCCGCCAGAGAGAUGGGCACUCUGAUAAGACUGCCGGGGACAACCCGGAGGAAGGUGGGGACGACGUCAAAUCAUCAUGCCCCUUAUGAACUGGGCUACACACGUGCUACAAUGGCGGAAACAAAGGGAAGCGAACCCGUGAGGUGAAGCAAAUCUCAGAAAAUCCGUCUCAGUUCGGAUUGUAGUCUGCAACUCGCCUACAUGAAGCUGGAAUCGCUAGUAAUCGCAAAUCAGCAUGCCGCGGUGAAUACGUUCCCGG
RNAcentral lists this ribosomal RNA (1206 nucleotides) under uncultured bacterium. RNAcentral describes it as "partial 16S ribosomal RNA". It matches the Rfam family "Bacterial small subunit ribosomal RNA", at positions 156 to 1377 of the family's 1533-position model. The record is from RNAcentral.